Molecule: long non-coding RNA, 2438 nt
Organism: Pseudoliparis swirei
Lineage: Eukaryota; Metazoa; Chordata; Actinopteri; Perciformes; Liparidae
Exons: 3
Source: RefSeq, a predicted model, not a curated record
GCAGGGCGCGGACGGAGUAGAGGGAGGUAUGCGUGGCUGGCGUGACGCCCGUGUGACCGGAGGGAUCGAUCACGACGUUAUGAAAAGGAAGGAUUUUAAUGCGGGAGGUUCCAAAACUAACUCAACAUAUAUGUUCACAGGAGAGAACGAGGUGAUGUAUUCAGAGUGAAACACGGAGCAGUAAAUCCUCCACGUCGGGGAUUCAUCUGUAAAAGACGCUUCUAUAAUCCGUGAAUCAAGAAUAUAAACAGAGUAUUGACAUCACAAAGCCUCUCUGGAGGGAAGAGUUCCUCUUUAAUCUCCCUCUGAAGCGACUUCACACCUCUUCACUUCGCACCGGCGCUCAUUAAAAAAGAGCGUGCACGCCGCCGCCGCCGGUCAGCGCCCCCCUCCAUCCCUCGCACCUGGCGCUCGCGGCCCACCGAGCGUCCGUAAUGGCGCCGAUUAGACGCGGUAAUCGGCUCUGGACCCUCGUCGGGCGGGAGGUCGGAUCACGAGACAAAUAAGCAGGAGGUGGCUCCCCGCUGGCCUCCUCACCGCCAACCGCUUGUUACCUUGAGGUAUUUAUCAGACUCCCCCCCCCCGCCGCCGCUCCGAGGGCCUUUAAUUGCGCCUCGUUCUCCGGAGUUCACUUGACCAAGUGCAGGUGCGGCGUCUGAGAAAAUAAUAAUUGAACAAACGAUUCUAGUGAGUUUCCCACACACACACACAGUGUGGGAGCGUCGGGACGCUGCAGUGACCUCCGACCCCCCGGCCUCCUGGUGACGGGCCCACGGCGUUCAAGAAAACAAACGCCGCCUCAGCACGUCAACGCGUCUCGGGGCCUCAGGAAAGAUCCAGCAGCCCCCAAACACUACGAGACCUGGACCGGACCGCCCCCCUUUGGGGGACUCGUCACUCUUCUGGUCCCAUUGUUCCCUCGGAGGGCGAAUGACAAGCGGCUGAUUGUGACAGGACGGACGCUAACAGACCGUCAGACUGAAACAACACGGGCGAGAGCGAGACGCGCCGGCUCUCUGGACGCCUCCGCGUCGAGGCGGCUCGUUGUUUCAACACAUUGUUUGAACAUUAUUUGGAGUUUGAUGCCACUUUUCGAGCGAGGAACACCAGGUUAUGCGUUCGCAACGAUUUUUUGGAAGCGAAACCUUCAAAUUAAUCUUCGAGUGCGCUUUUUUUUCUUCCUCGAUCAAUCCGAUAAACGCUCCUCCCGGAGGAGUUCUCCCUCCAUGCAGGAGGACGUCUUCCUCCUCUUCUUCCUCCUCUCUUCGUCGUUGUUGGCAUUGCUUAUGUAAUAACAGAUGGAAGAGAGAAAUUAACACGUCUUGCCUCUCUCGUUAUCCUCCUCUCUCCAUUUAUUUUUAAUGCCGUGAGCACGAGCGUCUCUCGUUCUCUGUGUAUGUCUCUCGCCCCGUGUGUGUGUGUGUGUGUCUGUGUGUGUGUGUGUGACCCCGGCAGGCCAGCAGCACCUGUCAGGAGUGUAUCCACCGUGGUUGCAUGCCUAAUUAGCACAAAAGGAAUUUGGUGCCAUCGAUGGGAAGAAGAGAGUGUGGGGUGCAAUUAGGAUUUGUUGGCAUGUACAGAACACACAGCGAAGAGGAGGAGGAGGAGGAGGAGGUGUGGGGGCUGAGCGAUGCAUGUGUGGCUUGACACUUCUCUACUUUUACAACUUAGGCGCUUGAAUAUUCGAGAAAUUUGUUUAAAUUUGAAAUUCCACUUUUGUGAAGUGGGCCAAUCACGUCGCUUUAAAGCCAGGAGCGCUCGCCGUGAUUGGCUGGCACAGGAGUCGUGUCACUGGAGGUGUGUCCAAACCUUGAGGCAGCUGUAGCCAAACACUGGGUCGGGACCCACCGGAGGGUCGCGGGAGAUUUCAUUUGGGUCGUCAGGAACAUUUUAAUAAAUCAUUAGAAAUAGAAAAAUCCUAAUAAAAGAUAAUGCACAAUGCAUAUAUUGUUUAACCCCUCACACACUCUCACACACACACACACACACACACACAGAGAUGAAGCUCCCAUCAAAUCCUCUCAGCUUCCUGCAUUUUUUCUGCCGCCACUCAAGACUUUCCCGAACAUAAAACAAAAAGAAGUAAAGUUUGAAAAGAAGAAGAAAUAACAGAUUAAGAAUUCAUACUUACGUCUUUUAGCAUCGAGCCGCCGCCAACGGCUGCCGAGGACUUUGAUGACGGCGUGAUGACCAAAGCGAGGACUUCUGAGGAGGGCGGCGGCGGCGAGGUUUAACUUUGCGAUUUAUUUAUCACGUCCACGGACGUCUGGGCAGAUUGGGGCGGCGGGGGGGCGCCGGCAGCUACAAGGAGUAAUAUUUCCAUGCAUACUAAAAGCGAUGAAUAAAACAAAAAGAAGCAACAAGAAAGGAACGUCGUCGUCUUUGUAGCCAGAGAGGAAAUAUGCGGCGCGUCAAAAAGCAGCCGUCUUUUUAAUCUA